This 223-nucleotide unclassified non-coding RNA is filed under the name plant metagenome. RNAcentral's name for it is "partial contains small subunit ribosomal RNA, internal transcribed spacer 1, and 5.8S ribosomal RNA". The stretch from base 176 to 223 matches the Rfam family "5.8S ribosomal RNA", at positions 1 to 49 of the family's 154-position model. The record is from RNAcentral.
UUUCCGUAGGUGAACCUGCGGAAGGAUCAUUAACACUUAGUAUAUAUUAAAUUUAGGAACUUUAAAAACUCCUAAAUUUAUAUAAAACUUAUGCGAACUUGUUAAAGUCUUUUAAUAGUAUUUAAAAACUUUUGUAUUUUUUGGGAUUAUAUUAUAAAUCUUUAUAAAAAAAUACGACUUUUAGCAAUGGAUAUCUUGGCUCUUGCAUCGUGAAGAACGCAGC